GACGAACGCUGGCGGCGUGCUUAACACAUGCAAGUCGAACGGAAAGGCCCUGCUUUUGUGGGGUGCUCGAGUGGCGAACGGGUGAGUAACACGUGAGUAACCUGCCCUUGACUUUGGGAUAACUUCAGGAAACUGGGGCUAAUACCGGAUAGGAGCUCCUGCUCCAUGGUGGGGGUUGGAAAGUUUCGGCGGUUGGGGAUGGACUCGCGGCUUAUCAGCUUUUUGGUGGGGUAGUGGCUUACCAAGGCUUUGACGGGUAGCCGGCCUGAGAGGGUGACCGGCCACAUUGGGACUGAGAUACGGCCCAGACUCCUACGGGAGGCAGCAGUGGGGAAUAUUGCACAAUGGGCGGAAGCCUGAUGCAGCAACGCCGCGUGCGGGAUGACGGCCUUCGGGUGGUAAACCGCUUUCGCCUGUGACGAAGCGUGAGUGACGGUAAUGGGUAAAGAAGCACCGGCUAACUACGUG
RNAcentral lists this ribosomal RNA (468 nucleotides) under uncultured bacterium. Its description in RNAcentral is "partial 16S ribosomal RNA". It matches the Rfam family "Bacterial small subunit ribosomal RNA", at positions 28 to 507 of the family's 1533-position model. The record is from RNAcentral.